AUAUGCCCGGUCAAGAUGUGUUCGGGUCAAUCAAAUCGUUUGGGCAGGCUUAAUAAUAAUUAGGAAUAGAUGAGCAACAGUGAAGCAGUCAUCCAUGUCA
This is a long non-coding RNA of Alosa sapidissima (American shad), 100 nucleotides long. RefSeq lists it as uncharacterized. NCBI's taxonomy places the organism in Eukaryota, Metazoa, Chordata, Actinopteri, Clupeiformes, Clupeidae. The record is from RefSeq and is a predicted model, not a curated record. The transcript has 3 exons.